This 55-nucleotide non-coding RNA is filed under the name unclassified sequences. The record is from Rfam.
AUCGUUCAACUCGUAGUGAGUCGGAAGUAGGUACAUUGUACCGAAGGAACGCAUG